Molecule: ribosomal RNA, 506 nt
Filed under: uncultured bacterium
Lineage: Bacteria
Description: partial 16S ribosomal RNA
Rfam family: Bacterial small subunit ribosomal RNA
Source: RNAcentral
GAUGAACGCUAGCUACAGGCUUAACACAUGCAAGUCGAGGGGUAACGAGAGGGAAGCUUGCUUUCCUUGUUGACGACCGGCGCACGGGUGAGUAACGCGUAUCCAACCUGCCCCCAACUAAGGAAUAACCUUGCGAAAGUAAGGCUAAUACCUUAUAAUUUCCUCAGAUGACAUCUGACGAGGAAUAAAGAUUUAUCGGUUGUGGAUGGGGAUGCGUCUGAUUAGCUUGUUGGCGGGGUAACGGCCCACCAAGGCAACGAUCAGUAGGGGUUCUGAGAGGAAGGUCCCCCACAUUGGAACUGAGACACGGUCCAAACUCCUACGGGAGGCAGCAGUGAGGAAUAUUGGUCAAUGGGCGGAAGCCUGAACCAGCCAAGUAGCGUGCAGGAUGACGGCCCUAUGGGUUGUAAACUGCUUUUAUACAGGAAUAAAGUUAGCCACGUGUGGUUAUUUGUAGGUACUGUAUGAAUAAGGACCGGCUAAUUCCGUGCCAGCAGCCGCGGUAA